AAUCUCGUGCCAGCCACCGCGGUUAUACGAGGAAUUCAAAUUAAUAUUCACGGCCCAAAGGGUAGUUUUAGAUAUAAUAAAAUAGGAUUAAAAUCUUACUUGACAGUUAUAAGUGAAUGUAAAACAUAAAACCAAAAACGAAAGUUAUACUAUAAUUUCUUGAAUCUACUACAGUUAAGAACCAAACUGGGAUUAGAUACCCCACUAUGCUCAACUUUAAAAUUGGACCUCUCGCCAGAGCACUACGAGCCACAGCUUAAAACUCAAAGGACCUGGCGGCGCCCUACACCCACCUAGAGGAGCCUGUUCUAUAAUCGACACCCCCCGAUAAACCUCACCACCUCUUGCUAAUACAGUCUAUAUACCACCGCCUCAGUGUACCUUUUAAAAGAAUAAAAGUGAACGAAAUAAUUUUAAAUAAAAAAGUCAGGUCAAGGUGUAGCAAAUGAGAUGGAAAGAAAUGGGCUACAUUUUUUAUUUUAAAAAACACGGAAUAUUCUAUGAAAUAAAAUAUGAAGGAGAAUUUAGAAGUAAAAAGAAAAAAGAGUGUUCUUUUUAAAUAGGUAAUAGAGCACGCACACACCGCCCGUCACCCUCUUUAAAAUAAUUAAGCUUAAUUAUAAAAGAGGAAAGUCGUAACAUGGUAAGUCUACCGGAAGGUGGCCUUGGAUAC
Molecule: ribosomal RNA, 673 nt
Filed under: Desmognathus wrighti (pygmy salamander)
Lineage: Eukaryota; Metazoa; Chordata; Amphibia; Caudata; Plethodontidae
Description: partial small subunit ribosomal RNA
Source: RNAcentral